Molecule: ribosomal RNA, 253 nt
Filed under: uncultured bacterium
Lineage: Bacteria
Description: partial 16S ribosomal RNA
Rfam family: Bacterial small subunit ribosomal RNA
Source: RNAcentral
UACGUAGGGUGCGAGCGUUACUCGGAAUUACUGGGCGUAAAGCGUGCGCAGGCGGUUUUUUAAGUCAGAUGUGAAAUCCCCGGGCUUAACCUGGGAACUGCGUUUGAAACUACAAGGCUAGAGUGUGGCAGAGGGGGGUGGAAUUCCACGUGUAGCAGUGAAAUGCGUAGAGAUGUGGAGGAACACCGAUGGCGAAGGCAGCCCCCUGGGUUAACACUGACGCUCAGGCACGAAAGCGUGGGGAGCAAACAGG